AAUAUUGGACAAUGGGCGAAAGCCUGAUCCAGCCAUGCCGCGUGUGUGAAGAAGGUCUUCGGAUUGUAAAGCACUUUAAGUUGGGAGGAAGGGCAGUAACCUAAUACGUUAUUGUUUUGACGUUACCGACAGAAUAAGCACCGGCUAACUCUGUGCCAGCAGCCGCGGUAAUACAGAGGGUGCAAGCGUUAAUCGGAAUUACUGGG
This 206-nucleotide ribosomal RNA is filed under the name Pseudomonas viridiflava. Its description in RNAcentral is "partial 16S ribosomal RNA". It matches the Rfam family "Bacterial small subunit ribosomal RNA", at positions 360 to 558 of the family's 1533-position model. Lineage: Bacteria; Pseudomonadati; Pseudomonadota; Gammaproteobacteria; Pseudomonadales; Pseudomonadaceae. The record is from RNAcentral.